This 423-nucleotide ribosomal RNA is filed under the name uncultured bacterium. Its description in RNAcentral is "partial 16S ribosomal RNA". It matches the Rfam family "Bacterial small subunit ribosomal RNA", at positions 359 to 775 of the family's 1533-position model. The record is from RNAcentral.
CAUAUUGGACAAUGGGGGCAACCCUGAUCCAGCCAUGCCUCGUGUGUGAAGAAGGUCUUUGGAUUGUAAAGCACUUUAAGUUGGGAGGACGGGCUUUAGGUUAAUACCCUGAAGUUUUGAUGUUACCAAUGGAACAACCACCGGCUAACUUUGUCCCAGCAGCCGCGGUAAUACAGAGGGUGCAAGCGUUAAUCGGAAUUACUGGGCGUAAAGCGCGCGUAGGUGGUUCAGUAAGAUGGGUGUGAAAUCCCCGGGCUUAACCUGGGAACUGCUUUCAUAACUGCUGAGCUAGAGUACGGUAGAGGGUAGUGGAAUUUCCUGUGUAGCGGUGAAAUGCGUAGAUAUAGGAAGGAACACCAGUGGCGAAGGCGACUACCUGGACUGAUACUGACACUGAGGUGCGAAAGCGUGGGGAGCAAACAG